This 270-nucleotide ribosomal RNA is filed under the name uncultured archaeon. RNAcentral describes it as "partial 16S ribosomal RNA". It matches the Rfam family "Archaeal small subunit ribosomal RNA", at positions 477 to 747 of the family's 1478-position model. The record is from RNAcentral.
CAGCACCUCAAGUGGUCAGGAUGAUUAUUGGGCCUAAAGCAUCCGUAGCCGGCUCUGUAAGUUUUCGGUUAAAUCUGUAUGCUCAACAUACAGGCUGCCGUGAAUACUGCAGAGCUAGGGAGUGGGAGAGGUAGACGGUACUCGGUAGGAAGGGGUAAAAUACUUUGAUCUAUUGAUGACCACCUGUGGCGAAGGCGGUCUACCAGAACACGUCCGACGGUGAGGGAUGAAAGCUGGGGGAGCAAACCGGAUUAGAUACCCGAGUAGUCC